CGGUUAAACACGGUGUUGUAUUGAAUUUGUUGUAUUGUUGUAUUGAAUUUGUUGUUGCGUUGUUGAUAUUGUAUUCUGUGGUUUAUUGUACUAAAAAAAAUUCUAAGUGUGCUGUAUCACUACUGAACAUGAUGAACCAUUCACCGUGUCUAAAUAUGGUGAACCAAUCACCGUGUUUAGACACGGUGAAUCUGUAAGGACUGAGAUUUUGACAGUGCAACUAAACUUUCUGUUGACGAUAUUUAUGUGUGUAAUUUAAUUACAUAAGCACUCGUCAAGUUUCAGGAGAAAACGAGUUAGAAUGGAGAAGUUACACGAUUAUUAGUUUUCACUUAAGUGAAUAGUAACUCCGAUUUUUCGGAGAAGCUACGGAGUAGAGUUGGCUUUCGACGCAUAUCGGACUCCGUUCAUAGCGAUCCAAUAGCUCGUUUUGAUUGGUUCAGCUAUUCUGGAACCAAUGGCAUUAACGGAUUUCAGAUCUGAUGCACGGUUUUCGAGAAAAAAGAGUUUUAUCAAAAAGAGGGUUUUCGUUCUU
This 535-nucleotide long non-coding RNA is filed under the name Ananas comosus (pineapple). RNAcentral describes it as "long non-coding RNA (ACOM_LNC026260)". The record is from RNAcentral. Lineage: Eukaryota; Viridiplantae; Streptophyta; Magnoliopsida; Poales; Bromeliaceae.